This 497-nucleotide ribosomal RNA is filed under the name uncultured bacterium. RNAcentral describes it as "partial 16S ribosomal RNA". It matches the Rfam family "Bacterial small subunit ribosomal RNA", at positions 28 to 507 of the family's 1533-position model. The record is from RNAcentral.
GAUGAACGCUGGCGGCGUGCCUAAUACAUGCAAGUCGAGCGAACAGACGAGGAGCUUGCUCCUCUGACGUUAGCGGCGGACGGGUGAGUAACACGUGGAUAACCUACCUAUAAGACUGGGAUAACUUCGGGAAACCGGAGCUAAUACCGGAUAAUAUAUUGAACCGCAUGGUUCAAUAGUGAAAGACGGUUUUGCUGUCACUUAUAGAUGGAUCCGCGCCGCAUUAGCUAGUUGGUAAGGUAACGGCUUACCAAGGCAACGAUGCGUAGCCGACCUGAGAGGGUGAUCGGCCACACUGGAACUGAGACACGGUCCAGACUCCUAAGGGAGGCAGCAGUAGGGAAUCUUCCGCAAUGGGCGAAAGCCUGACGGAGCAACGCCGCGUGAGUGAAGAAGGUCUUCGGAUCGUAAAACUCUGUUAUUAGGGAAGAACAAAAGUGGAAGGAAACAUUCCCGUCUUGACGGUACCUAAUCAGAAAGCCACGGCUAACUUCGUG